GACGAACGCUGGCGGCGUGCUUAACACAUGCAAGUCGAGCGGUAAGGCCCUUUCGGGGGUACACGAGCGGCGAACGGGUGAGUAACACGUGGGUGACCUGCCCUCAGCUCUGGGAUAAGCCUGGGAAACCGGGUCUAAUACCGGAUAUGACUCCAUGACGCAUGUUGUGGGGUGGAAAGCCUUGUGCGGCUGAGGAUGGGCCCGCGGCCUAUCAGCUUGUUGGUGGGGGAUGGCCUACCAAGGCGACGAUCAGUAGCUGGUCUGAGAGGAUGAUCAGCCACAUUGGGACUGAGACACGGCCCAAACUCCUACGGGAGGCAGCAGUGGGGAAUAUUGGACAAUGGGCGAAAGCCUGAUCCAGCCAUGCCGCG
RNAcentral lists this ribosomal RNA (371 nucleotides) under uncultured bacterium. RNAcentral's name for it is "bacterial SSU rRNA". It matches the Rfam family "Bacterial small subunit ribosomal RNA", at positions 28 to 401 of the family's 1533-position model. The record is from RNAcentral.